Long non-coding RNA from Passer domesticus (house sparrow), 766 nucleotides. RefSeq lists it as uncharacterized. Lineage: Eukaryota; Metazoa; Chordata; Aves; Passeriformes; Passeridae. The transcript is spliced from 5 exons. The record is from RefSeq and is a predicted model, not a curated record.
CCAAAGGAAUUACCCUUUUUUUCAGCCUGGCUUCAUCCCACAGCUGAUUUUCUCCCCUCCUCCCCCCAGGAAGAGCAUCUCCUCUCUGCUUUUGGCCCUGCUUUUCUUGGCUGCAUCUCCCUGUGCCAGCAGCACCAUAUGGAGCAGAACUGAGCAUAUAGAGGAAAGAGGGAUGGAUGCCAUUUUUAUUCCUUGAGCUUCUUGUCAGAAGAAAAGGAAAGUGAAUUCUCUGCAGAAAAAAGGCCUGCUUGGACUCAUUGCUAAUCUGCAAGAGGUGCUGCCUUGCCUUGUCCAGCUGGCAGCCAUCCCAGGUGCUGCAUCCAAGUCCCCAGGCAGCAGCCUCAGAUCACAUCACCCCAGGGAAGGACCUGUGCUGGGCACAGCCCUCACCACAGCAAGGGAGGAGACUGCAAAGAAGCUUUCCAGGAAGAGAAAGGAGGUACACAGAGCUGGGCUUGGACAGAGCAAUGCUGAGAUCCUGCUCUGCAGGGACAAAAUGGGUGCAGUUCAUGUCACUUGCCAGGAAAGAUGGCAGAGAAGGCUUGGAUAUUUUUCACCCCUCUGCUGAGAAGAAAUCUGUUUCAGGAAGCUGCUGCUGCUUUCAUGAUUGCAAUAAUCCAUGGAGAGAGCAAAGGGAAUGGGGACUGGAUAUGGGAGGUGUUGUUCUCCUGCCUGUGAAGGGAAUGAGGAGGAGUAGCUGCAGCACAAGGGUGAGGUGAGAGCUUCCCAAAGUGAAGGGGCUUCUGAUGAAUGAAGCCAUGACUAA